AUUGAACGCUGGCGGCAGGCCUAACACAUGCAAGUCGAGCGGAUGAAGGGAGCUUGCUCCUGGAUUCAGCGGCGGACGGGUGAGUAAUGCCUAGGAAUCUGCCUGGUAGUGGGGGAUAACGUCCGGAAACGGGCGCUAAUACCGCAUACGUCCUGAGGGAGAAAGUGGGGGAUCUUCGGACCUCACGCUAUCAGAUGAGCCUAGGUCGGAUUAGCUAGUUGGUGGGGUAAAGGCCUACCAAGGCGACGAUCCGUAACUGGUCUGAGAGGAUGAUCAGUCACACUGGAACUGAGACACGGUCCAGACUCCUACGGGAGGCAGCAGUGGGGAAUAUUGGACAAUGGGCGAAAGCCUGAUCCAGCCAUGCCGCGUGUGUGAAGAAGGCCUUCGGAUUGUAAAGCACUUUAAGUUGGGAGGAAGGGCAGUAAGUUGAUACCUUGCUGUUUUGACGUUACCAACAGAAUAAGCACCGGCUAACUUCGUG
This 484-nucleotide ribosomal RNA is filed under the name uncultured bacterium. Its description in RNAcentral is "partial 16S ribosomal RNA". It matches the Rfam family "Bacterial small subunit ribosomal RNA", at positions 30 to 507 of the family's 1533-position model. The record is from RNAcentral.